CAGUCGCCGCGGUAAUACGAGGGGUGCAAGCGUUAAUCGGAAUUACUGGGCGUAAAGCGUGCGUAGGCGGUGAGCUAAGUCUGCUGUGAAAUCCCCGGGCUCAACCUGGGAAUGGCAGUGGAUACUGGCUCGCUAGAGUGUGUCAGAGGAUGGUGGAAUUCCCGGUGUAGCGGUGAAAUGCGUAGAGAUCGGGAGGAACAUCAGUGGCGAAGGCGGCCAUCUGGGACAACACUGACGCUGAGGCACGAAAGCGUGGGGAGCAAACAGGAUUAGAUACCCGGGUAGUCCCUGUCUCUUAUAC
This 301-nucleotide ribosomal RNA is filed under the name uncultured bacterium. Its description in RNAcentral is "partial 16S ribosomal RNA". It matches the Rfam family "Bacterial small subunit ribosomal RNA", at positions 509 to 807 of the family's 1533-position model. The record is from RNAcentral.